RNAcentral lists this ribosomal RNA (258 nucleotides) under uncultured bacterium. Its description in RNAcentral is "partial 16S ribosomal RNA". It matches the Rfam family "Bacterial small subunit ribosomal RNA", at positions 524 to 776 of the family's 1533-position model. The record is from RNAcentral.
UACAGAGACCUCAAGCGUUAUCCGGAAUCAUUGGGCGUAAAGCGUACCGAUAGGUUGUUUAUUAAGUCUUGGGUAAAAGCCGGAAGCUCAACUUCCGCGUUUGCUUAAGAUACUAAUAGACUAGAGGGGCAAAGGAGGUGCUUGGAACGAACGGUGUAGUAGUGAAAUGCGUUGAUAUCGUUCGGAACACCGAAAGCGAAGGCAGAGCACUGGGUGCCACCUGACACUGCUAGGACGAAAGCGUGGGGAGCGAAUGGG